This 253-nucleotide ribosomal RNA is filed under the name uncultured bacterium. RNAcentral's name for it is "partial 16S ribosomal RNA". It matches the Rfam family "Bacterial small subunit ribosomal RNA", at positions 524 to 776 of the family's 1533-position model. The record is from RNAcentral.
UACGUAGGUGGCAAGCGUUGUCCGGAUUUAUUGGGUUUAAAGGGUGCGUAGGCGGUCUAUUAGGUCAGUGCUGAAAUAUCCCGGCUUAACCGGGAGGGUGGCAUUGAUACUGAUGGACUUGAGUGCAGUCGAGGUAGGCGGAAUUGACGGUGUAGCGGUGAAAUGCUUAGAUAUCGUCAAGAACACCGAUAGUGAAGACAGCUUACUAGACUGUAACUGACGCUGAGGCACGAAAGUGUGGGGAUCAAACAGG